This 301-nucleotide ribosomal RNA is filed under the name uncultured bacterium. RNAcentral describes it as "partial 16S ribosomal RNA". It matches the Rfam family "Bacterial small subunit ribosomal RNA", at positions 509 to 807 of the family's 1533-position model. The record is from RNAcentral.
CAGUAGCCGCGGGAACACGGAGGGUGCAAGCGUUAAUCGGAAUUACUGGGCGUAAAGCGCACGCAGGCGGUCUGACAAGUCAGAUGUGAAAUCCCCGGGCUUAACCUGGGAACUGCAUUUGAAACUGUCAGGCUGGAGUCUUGUAGAGGGGGGUGGAAUUCCAGGUGUAGCGGUGAAAUGCGUAGAGAUCUGGAGGAAUACCGGUGGUGAAGGCGGCCCCCUGGACAAAGACUGACGCUCAGGUGCGAAAGCGUGGGGAGCAAACAGGAUUAGAUACCCGCGUAGUCCCUGUCUCUUAUAC